CUGCAGGGGGGCAGUAUUUUCCAUGGCUACUGGCUUCCACCAUGGCUACUGGAGAAAUCAGCUGCCGGUCUUACUGGGGUUCUCUUGAAGACAACAGAGCGUGUGGAGUAAUAAUGAAACUCACUUGAUCCUGCUCUUCCAGUGCUUUCCACCUGGACAAGGUGGAGGGCAGGAGAGAAAAACCCAAAAAGAAUUGCUGCGGGAAACGAGGUGGGAGAGAUGCCAGCCGGUCCCACCUGCCCACCCUCCUCGGGGAAGCCGGCCCGGCGCAUUCUCCCGGAGACACCCCUUGUUUAGGCCCCAGCGUCUGCGCGCCCCGGACCUCCCUGGACCUCGGGCCUUGGAGUUUCAAUUGUUUCUCUGGCUUGUUCAGAAGGUGGAAGCUUAACCAGUGUGGCCGUUUGGAUUCUUGAAAAGGAGA
Molecule: long non-coding RNA, 421 nt
Organism: Talpa occidentalis (Iberian mole)
Lineage: Eukaryota; Metazoa; Chordata; Mammalia; Eulipotyphla; Talpidae
Exons: 3
Source: RefSeq, a predicted model, not a curated record